This 346-nucleotide ribosomal RNA is filed under the name uncultured bacterium. RNAcentral's name for it is "partial 16S ribosomal RNA". It matches the Rfam family "Bacterial small subunit ribosomal RNA", at positions 338 to 681 of the family's 1533-position model. The record is from RNAcentral.
CCUACGGGUGGCAGCAGUGAGGAAUAUUGGUCAAUGGCCGGAAGGCUGAACCAGCCAAGUCGCGGGAAGGAAGAAGGAUCUAUGGUGUGUAAACUUCUGUUAUAGGGGAAUAAAGGGAGCCACGUGUGGAUAUUUGCAUGUACCCUAUGAAUAAGCAUCGGCUAACUCCGUGCCAGCAGCCGCGGUAAUACGGAGGAGGCGAGCGUUAUCCGGAUUGAUUGGGUUUAAAGGGUGCGUAGGUUUUUUUUUAAGGCAGCGGUGAAAGUUUGUGGCUCAACCAUAAAAUUGCCGUUGAAACUGGUAGACUUGCGUGUGUUUGCGGUCGGCGGACUGCGUGGUGUAGCGG